This 2346-nucleotide long non-coding RNA is filed under the name Daucus carota (carrot). RNAcentral's name for it is "long non-coding RNA (DCAR_LNC006432)". The record is from RNAcentral. Lineage: Eukaryota; Viridiplantae; Streptophyta; Magnoliopsida; Apiales; Apiaceae.
GGUGACAACUCGGUCACACUACUCGAGAUUCCUAACUUGGCCUCAAUUGCUACUCUCUGACAUCACUACACUCUAUUGGACUAUCUCACGGCACAAUAUCGCCUUAUCAAAUUAUUUCUGGCUUGAUUUGCAUCACUAAUUUCUGGCUUCUGAAAGUCGCUGAUGUACACGUCUCGAUCGACUAUUUAUGACAGUAACAAUACUUCAGUUGAAGAAUAAUCCAGAGCAUCGUUUAACUUGCAGAAUCGAAAUUAUAUUACUACCCUUCGCCAUAUAAAUAUAUUAUAUACAAAUAAUAUAUACACGUUGUGUCAAAAAGUUGAACACGUCGUCACAUAAGCACUUAUCAAAUAAUUUACAUGCUUUGAUAUUUAAAUAAAUAUAAAUAUAAUUUAAUAAAUCAUGUAUAUAAUCUUAUAUUUUGAUUAUAUACAAACAAUUAACAGAGUGACAAUAUAACCCUGGCAAUAAUCCAUUUCAAAAAUAUAACCCAAACUAAUCUGAAUCACAAAUCCAAUUGUAAUUCAAUCACACCUCACAUCAACUCAAAAUCUCAUCAAACUAAAUUAAUAAAAUAAUAUAAUUUUGGACAUCAUGUAUUUUAAAAUCGAGCAAACCCCAACUCAAUAACACAACAAUCUAUGUCCAAAAAUAUAAAUAUACAUCACAAUGUCAAAACAAUCAAAGCCCGAAAAUAAUCUUUGACACUAAACACGUAUUAUUUUAAUAAUAAUAAUACAAUUUGUAAUUCCAUUCACAUUCCAACUAUUUAAAAUUAAACUCUAGAUGCAAAUUCUUAAAGCAUCACAUAUUACUCGCAUAUGAUAAGUCAUAAAACACGUAUCAUUCAUCGAUGGCAAUAUCAAUAUUGUAUAUAAUCAAGAAUUCGCAUUAUUCGAUCUCAAGGACAACCUUUAUUCGUCAAUACUCGAGACAGAAAUAGAAUAUAAUUUAAUCAAUUAUUAAUCAUUAAGAUUAUUAAAAGUAUCACUUAUCAUUAUCAUUAUCAAUUGAACCGAUAAUAAUAAUAAUACCGAUAAUAAUAAUAACUCAACAAUACAUAAUUAAUUAAUAAAAUAUCUAUCUCUCGGCCUAUCUGGUUUAGUUUCAUAAGCAAUAGCCGGAUUUCUGGCCAUUUGAAUCCACUCCAACAAUCACCACUGCAUCCUUCUGCAGCCUCCCCUCUCUCAACCCAGUAGUUUACCUCAACCAAUUUCCAACUCAUACAAACAUGCACCAUCACAACAUGCCAACAGUUGCUCCCCCUGCUAACAACUAAACCGAAAACAACCACCUCCAGGUGGUGCCAGGUGCAGCUAAACAUAACAAAUCCAAAGCCUUUUUUUCCAUCUCCAUCCCCAUCUCUAUCAGUCUCACUGGCUGAUGCUUUUUGUUACCAACCUUGAACUAUUAAUCCACUACUCCUCCGUCAUGCCCCAAUCUAUAUCUUCUAACCCACCACAAACCAAAUACAUCCAAAUCAACCCACAACCAAGUUCUGUCCCGCCCCGGCUUCUUCCACCACGACUCCAGUGUAACUUUGUAAACGCCAACAAUAACUAAAACAACUCACCACCAUCAUCUCCUUCAAAACAGUCCCUCACUUCCCCUGCGAUUCUGCUCCAAUCUACUCAACUACCGGAAACGCAGCAGCCCCCUCACACAAGCAAAUUCCCAGCCAGACUUGGCAUCUCGACACCCUUCAAACAGCUCCAAAUUCCCACGGCGGUAACACAGCCUCACGGCGGCGCUGGCCUACCCACGCACAGCCACCGGUCGCUCUCCCUCGAACAGACCCACUGGCCACCUACGUCCAUGCCGCUUGUCACCGCCUCUCUUCAACUGCGCAACACCCCACUACUAACCAACACCCACAACUCGACUGCCACCAUCCUGAGUUCCAACAACGCGGGGUUGCCGCUCUCUCUGCUGCAGAUACAAACGCCGGCCAGCCAACAAACAACUACCUACCGUCGCCCUCCCUUUUCCUCCGACAAACAAUCAGCCCCAUACUCCAUGAUCGAACACCAACACAUAUACAACCCAUCUCUUUCAUCAGCCAACACCAGCCACCGCACCACUCCGGCCGCCGCUAGUUCAGGCCAUCCCUUUCAAUCCCAACAAUUCCAAUCACAAACAAGUAAUACAUACACAUAUAAGCAUGUUUAUAAACUCGACCCUCACCUGAAUCGUGCUCGAAUUGGAUUAAAAGAUUGAAACCCUAGCUUCUACUCUGUUUUCCCCAAAUCGAUCGACGCCUCUGUUUUUGUGUUUUUCUCGGUGUUUCAUGAGUUUUGGGUUUAUAUAUUAACAAGGAAUAGCCACGUUAUACACACGUAACUGCCA